RNAcentral lists this ribosomal RNA (460 nucleotides) under uncultured bacterium. RNAcentral's name for it is "partial 16S ribosomal RNA". It matches the Rfam family "Bacterial small subunit ribosomal RNA", at positions 338 to 795 of the family's 1533-position model. The record is from RNAcentral.
CCUACGGGGGGCAGCAGUGAGGAAUAUUGGUCAAUGGCCGGAAGGCUGAACCAGCCAUGCCGCGUGAAGGUCAGUGCCCUAUGGGCGUUAAACUUCUUUUGUGCGGGAGCAAUAAUGGUCACGUGUGGCCAGACGAGAGUACCGUACGAAUAAGCAUCGGCUAACUCCGUGCCAGCAGCCGCGGUAAUACGGGGGUUGCAAGCGUUAUCCGGAUUUAUUGGGUUUAAAGGGUGCGUAGGCUGUGAGGUAAGUCAGCGGUGAAAUGCCCCCGCUCAACGGGGUGAAGUGCCAUUGAUACUGCCUGGCUGGAAUGCGGAUGCCGUGGGAGGAAUGUGUGGUGUAGCGGUGAAAUGCAUAGAUAUCACACAGAACACCGAUUGCGAAGGCAUCUCACGAAUCCGCGAUUGACGCUGAUGCACGAAAGCGUGGGUAUCAAACAGGAUUAGAUACCCGGGUAGUC